UCCCUGGUGGCUCAGAUGUUAGUAAAGUGUCUGUCUACAAUGCAGGAGAACCCAGGUUCGAGCCCUGGGUUGGGAA
Molecule: transfer RNA, 76 nt
Filed under: Ovis aries (sheep)
Lineage: Eukaryota; Metazoa; Chordata; Mammalia; Artiodactyla; Bovidae
Rfam family: tRNA
About the family: Transfer RNA (tRNA) molecules are approximately 80 nucleotides in length.
Source: Rfam by way of RNAcentral